Non-coding RNA from Salvia hispanica, 264 nucleotides. NCBI's taxonomy places the organism in Eukaryota, Viridiplantae, Streptophyta, Magnoliopsida, Lamiales, Lamiaceae. The record is from RefSeq and is a predicted model, not a curated record.
GCGUUGGGAUGUCGAAAAGAGGUCGCCCAUACAAAAGUCAGCCGACGCAGUCCGAAGCAAGUAAGCAGCGUCGCGUUGAUUUUGAUGAAGCAGUAGAUGAUGUAAUUCUAAUUGUAUUAGCCCAGAAGCUUCGGCAUAGAUUAUCGGAGGACAAAGCAGAGACCAGUACAUCCCGUAAAGAGUGGAUAGGAUGUAUGGGGUGGAGAAGUAUGGGGAGUGAUCGUAUGGAUACUUUAUGGAUAUGAUGUUUUUUUGGGAUUGGAA